AUGAACACCCAAGUAAACAAUAAAAACAGCUAUGAAGGAAACGAAAAGGAACCUAAUGAAAUGAAAAGAAAAAACGAAGGAAAUGGCCGUAAAAGUUUAAAACGACUUAGACAGAAACCUAUCAAUAAUAACAUAGAAACAGAUGAGGAAGAAAAUGUAACUGAUUUGGAUGAACAAAAAAACGUUCAAGUUAAUUCUAAAAGCCCAAUUUAUGAUAAUAACAAAAGUUUUAGUAAUGAUAGUUCUCUUUACAAAAAAAGUAAAAAAAUUAUAGGAGAGGAUUACAAUAGUUAUAAUAGUAAUAGUGAAGAAAAUGAAAUGGAAAAACCAGAUAUUCUCAAUAUUGGUAUUAAAAAAACGAACAAAAGUUCUACUUCAAGUGAUAAUAAUUUUAUAAGUGACAGCAAUAAUAAUAAUAAUAAUAAUAAUAAUAAUAAUAAUAAUAAUAAUAAUAAUAAUAAUAAUAAUAANNNNNNNNNNAAUAAUAAUAAUAAUAAUAAUAAUAAUAAUAAUAAUAAUAAUAAUAACUAUAAAAAUAUAGAUAAAGAAGUUGAAAAUGUACAAACAAAUGAAUGUACUUUUUACCCUUCCCAUAAUGUAAAUAAAAUAGAUCAAUUAAAAAUACUUAAAAACAAUUAUUUGAAUAUACCAGUUGCUUUAUUAUAUCCUGAAGAGGAAAAUAUACCAAACAUAGAAUCUAUUAUAUAUACAAUGAAUUAUUAUACAGCUGAAUGGGCUCACAUAUCUUAUAAUAUGAAAAAUCUAAAACUUUUUACAAAGAACAAAAAAAAACAAAAACAAGAAAUAUCAGUUACAGAAUUAGUAAAUAAAUUACAUAAACAAAAUAAAAAAAUUAUGGUUUAUUGGGGUUCAACUGAUAAAGGAGAAAAAGAAGAUAUACAAUUUUAUAUUAAUUUAAAUGUAGAAUCUCUUUGUGUGAAUGAUUUUGAUGUAACUAAAAAAGCCUUAGCCAACACAUAGUUAUUAAUUUUAGGGACUUCCAAAAAAAAAAAAAAAAAAAGUGCUACCCCUUUUUUAGUGUUUAUACAUAAUCAUUUGUCUAUGUACACACACAUACAUACACAUAUAUAUUAUACAAUCAUGAUCUUAAAUAUUAUGAUGAAUAUGUAGGGGUAACACUCCACAACUAUGCGCAUAUUUUUUACAAUAUAAUUAUUCUUUUUUAAUAAUAAUUACAGAAUUUUAUUUAAAACACCAUAUAUUUUGGUUUAUUUGGUUUAUUUGUUUUAACAGGUUUACUUGUUUUAAUUGUUUUAACAGGUUUACUUNNNNNNNNNNUACUUGUUUUAAUUGUUUUAACAGGUUUACUUGUUUUAAUUGUUUUAUUUUGUUUAUUUACUUUUUUUUUUUUUUUGCUUCAUUUGUUUUUGAUUUUUUUAAUAUUAACUUUAUGCUUUCAAAUGAAGUGAAAAACUGCCCUAUUUUCAACCAUACAUUAUUGUAUUAAUGUAUAUAUAUAUAUAUAUAUAUAUAUAUAUAUAUAUAUAUAUAUAUAUAUAUAUUUGUUUAAACACUAUUAUGAAAUAUUACAUAGCACUUAUUUUAAUAGUCUCACAAGGCAGUUUUUAUAUAUAUGAAAAAAAUAUAUGCAUAUGCGUAUAUAUAUUGUACAUUUUUAAUUUUUUCCAUUUUGUAAAACAUUUUUUACUUCACAAAAAUGUGAAUAACUGCUAUAUAAUUUUUCACACAUGUUUGUUGUAAAAAUUUAUUCAGUUAACAUAUCUUUAGUACAUUAUUUUUAUUUGCAAAGUUUUUAUAAUUUUUAUUUUUUAAAAAAAAGUUUUUUCCCUUAAUUCGAAAAAUUGUGUACAUAUAUAAACGUGCGUAUAUACAUAUAUAUAUUUGUAUAUAUGUGUAUAUAUAUAAACAUAUGUAUAAAAAUAUGAACAUAUUUUAAAAAGGCUUAAACAUGCUUAAAAAUGCUUAAAAAAGUUAGCAUUGUUACAUUAGUGUUUGUAUACACAUGUAUGUACUUUCCUUUUGAACAUGCUGGAAAUUUUAGCAUUUAUGCAAGUUUAAAAAAAAAAUAGGGACAAAAAAACAAGUUGAGUACCUAGCAUAAACGUAAGGUAUUUUUCAUUAUAAAUAAAAAAAAAAAAAUAAAAUAAAAUAAUAAUAUA
Long non-coding RNA from Piliocolobus tephrosceles (Ugandan red Colobus), 2141 nucleotides. The record is from Ensembl. NCBI's taxonomy places the organism in Eukaryota, Metazoa, Chordata, Mammalia, Primates, Cercopithecidae.